This 420-nucleotide long non-coding RNA is filed under the name Sinocyclocheilus anshuiensis. RNAcentral's name for it is "lncRNA (ENSSANG00000050667.1)". Lineage: Eukaryota; Metazoa; Chordata; Actinopteri; Cypriniformes; Cyprinidae. The record is from RNAcentral.
CGCUAUUGGCCAGUCGCGUCGGGCUCGAUCUGAGAGACUCAAUUGGUCAGGUAAAUAGCUGCAAGUUGGCAGGAAGAGCUAGAGAGCGGAGAUACAUGAUGAUGUCAACACGGCUGUGAUCCUUUCGGUCUGGCAAACGCAAGGUCUUUUUAACCCAUCGAUUCCUUGAUAUAAAUAGUAAUGGUCCGGUGGGAUUGUACAAGUAAUGUUCUGCUUGAUCUCAGAAGUGGUCGUUGUGUCGGGUCUGUCCUUUAAGGCGCAUUGCAGCGUUGCUCAAGGACUAGUGAUCAUCUGCAGCAUCCGGAGGAGUCCAGAUCCUACUGGCUGUUUGACCAGAGAUCAAGAGACAUGGAGAAUCUGAGCCACAUCUCUCCUUAUCUACACUUCUGAGCUGGGUUUGAGGCAGGUGAGCCAAAAUGA